This 225-nucleotide long non-coding RNA is filed under the name Hordeum vulgare. RNAcentral's name for it is "long non-coding RNA (HVUL_LNC009437)". Lineage: Eukaryota; Viridiplantae; Streptophyta; Magnoliopsida; Poales; Poaceae. The record is from RNAcentral.
CUCGAAAUUUUUGGGGCUCUGUAAAUUGGGGUAUAAGUCCCUGCAAAAAAGCCAUCAACAGACAGAAACUGGCAUCGGUGCACUAAGUUAGUAGGUUAGUCCAAAUAUGUGUAAAAAGGUAUGAAAGUGUAGGAAAACAUAUAACAAUGUCACCAACAAGAGCAUGGAACAAACAUAAAUUAUAGAUACGUUUCCGACGUAGCACCCACGCUUCGCCGGCCAGGA